GAUGAACGCUGGCGGCGUGCCUAAUACAUGCAAGUCGAGCGAACAGACGAGGAGCUUGCUCCUCUGACGUUAGCGGCGGACGGGUGAGUAACACGUGGAUAACCUACCUAUAAGACUGGGAUAACUUCGGGAAACCGGAGCUAAUACCGGAUAAUAUAUUGAACCGCAUGGUUCAAUAGUGAAAGACCGUUUUGCUGUCACUUAUAGAUGGAUCCGCGCCGCAUUAGCUAGUUGGUAAGGUAACGGCUUACCAAGGCAACGAUGCGUAGCCGACCUGAGAGGGUGAUCGGCCACACUGGAACUGAGACACGGUCCAGACUCCUACGGGAGGCAGCAGUAGGGAAUCUUCCGCAAUGGGCGAAAGCCUGACGGAGCAACGCCGCGUGAGUGAUGAAGGUCUUCGGAUCGUAAAACUCUGUUAUUAGGGAAGAACAAAUGUGUAAGUAACUAUGCACGUCUUGACGGUACCUAAUCAGAAAGCCACGGCUAACUACGUG
This 497-nucleotide ribosomal RNA is filed under the name uncultured bacterium. RNAcentral's name for it is "partial 16S ribosomal RNA". It matches the Rfam family "Bacterial small subunit ribosomal RNA", at positions 28 to 507 of the family's 1533-position model. The record is from RNAcentral.